Molecule: ribosomal RNA, 207 nt
Filed under: uncultured bacterium
Lineage: Bacteria
Description: partial 16S ribosomal RNA
Rfam family: Bacterial small subunit ribosomal RNA
Source: RNAcentral
CGCGUAGGCGGCCUGCUAAGUCGAACGUGAAAUCCCCGAGCUCAACUCGGGAACUGCGUCCGAUACUGGCAGGCUUGAAUCCGGGAGAGGGAUGCGGAAUUCCAGGUGUAGCGGUGAAAUGCGUAGAUAUUGGGAGGAACACCGACGGCGUAGGCAGUCUACUGGCAUACUUCUGACCCUGAGGCACGAAAGCGUGGGGAGCGAACC